AGGCCUAAGGACUGUCAAGCCCACCAUCCGAUUUGCAAUCGAACAUCAUAUUAGACC
Molecule: transfer RNA, 57 nt
Filed under: Ctenophorus maculosus
Lineage: Eukaryota; Metazoa; Chordata; Lepidosauria; Squamata; Agamidae
Description: tRNA-Cys
Source: RNAcentral